GUCUCCGACUCACUAUAAACAUUUUAUACUUUUGUCCAUCAUUAUCUCAUCCCUAGUGGUCUUUGUUAAGUAAAUAAAGUUCUAAUUCCUGUUUAAUGGUUAGACACAGGUGGUUUCUGUCACUGAUUACAGCCCUAAACACAUGACAAUUAAGGCACAUAUAUCACAAGUUUGUUCAAGGAUUUUUACUUCAUUCUUUAGUUAGGAUGUUAUCUAUAGUGGAGCUACAAAUCAAAGAAGCUAUAUAACCUUUACUUUGAACAGCAGAAGCAAUGGGCUAAUGCAAGUUUUUAAAGGGAUACACUACUUAGUUUGCUUCCACAACUACUUUAAUAGCUAAUCUAUUAAGCUUUAAAACUUUUUCUUAUCAACAGAGUUAUAAAGUGGGGGAGGUAUGAGCGGUGAGUGAUCAGCUCAGGCUAGGAGUACUUGAGAAGAACAGGUUUGACAGAGGGAGGGUUAAGAGCAUAGGUAGAAAAGGCUUGUAUGUAGGGGAUUUCUGACCAUUUGCCAUUGCACUGACAGAAGUUGUGUAAAUCACACAGUAUGUUAAAAUUGAAAGUGCCAUUUUUGGGGCGUGGAAACCCAUUAUCUAAUUUAUACUGAGGCCAAACCUGAUUACAAUAGAAAACAAAUCUUUUUGGCCUAAAGUCUGGUCCCAACAAUCCGAGGGGUUUGAGUUGUGCCAGAAGGCAGCCCAGAGGCGUUGAGGGGCGGGGUUUGGAUUGUUGGGCCCCCUGAUUAGAGCGGGUGAGGGGGAGGUAUGAGCGGUGAGUGAUCAGCUCAGGCUAGGAGUACUUGAGAAGAACAGGUUUGACAGAGGGAGGGUUAAGAGCAUAGGUAGAAAAGGCUUGUAUGUAGGGGAUUUCUGACCAUUUGCCAUUGCACUGACAGAAGUUGUGUAAAUCACACAGUAUGUUAAAAUUGAAAGUGCCAUUUUUGGGGCGUGGAAACCCAUUAUCUAAUUUAUACUGAGGCCAAACCUGAUUACAAUAGAAAACAAAUCUUUUUGGCCUAAAGUCUGGUCCCAACAAUCCGAGGGGUUUGAGUUGUGCCAGAAG
Molecule: long non-coding RNA, 1061 nt
Filed under: Heterocephalus glaber (naked mole-rat)
Lineage: Eukaryota; Metazoa; Chordata; Mammalia; Rodentia; Bathyergidae
Description: lncRNA (ENSHGLG00000034950.1)
Source: RNAcentral